This 406-nucleotide ribosomal RNA is filed under the name Fusobacteriota bacterium. Its description in RNAcentral is "Fusobacteria bacterium partial 16S ribosomal RNA". It matches the Rfam family "Bacterial small subunit ribosomal RNA", at positions 355 to 776 of the family's 1533-position model. The record is from RNAcentral. Lineage: Bacteria; Fusobacteriati; Fusobacteriota.
UAAGGGAUAUUGCGCAAUGGGCGAAAGCCUGACGCAGCAACGCCGCGUGCCCGAUGAAGGCCUUCGGGUCGUAAAGGGCUUUUAGGGCUGAAGAGAACGGACGGUAAGCCCGGAAGAAGUGUCGGCUAACUACGUGCCAGCAGCCGCGGUAAAACGUAGGACGCAAGCGUUAUCCGGAGUUACUGGGCGUAAAGGGCAGGCAGGCGGGUCGAUAAGUCGGAUGUGAAAUCUCCCUGGCUUAACCGGGAGGGUGCAUUUGAGACUGUCGAGCUGGAGGGCAGCAGAGGAGCGUGGAAUUCCGGGUGGAGUGGUGAAAUGCGUAGAGAUCCGGAGGAACACCAGAGGCGAAAGCGGCGCUCUGGGCUGCACCUGACGCUGAACUGCGAAAGCCAGGGGAGCGAACGGG